This 638-nucleotide long non-coding RNA is filed under the name Jatropha curcas. RNAcentral's name for it is "long non-coding RNA (JCUR_LNC000660)". The record is from RNAcentral. Lineage: Eukaryota; Viridiplantae; Streptophyta; Magnoliopsida; Malpighiales; Euphorbiaceae.
ACGACAUUCUAAAACUUGGGGUAAUAAUCUUUUAUUCAGUACCAAUCUGUUUAUUCACACAUACAUAUUUAUAUAUAUGAUCGUAAGUUUACUUAAUUAUAUCAUCCUCUUCCAUUAGGUUUUUUAUUGUAUCCUCCACGUCCAUCAGGUUUUUCAUUAUAUCCACUUCGACCAGUCGGAUUUUCAUUGUUAGGUUUUUUAUUGUAUCCUCCGCGUCCAUCAGGUUUUUCAUUAUAUCCACUUCGACCAGUCGGAUUUUCAUUGUAUGCUCCUCGUCCAUCAGGGUAUUCAUUAUAUCCACUUCUACCGGUUGUAGUUUCAGCUAACAGAGUUCUUCGUCCUAACAAUUAAAAAAUGAAAUUAAUCCAAUAAUUAGUAAUCAUCACUUUUAUUUUUUUUUUUUUUCUUUAUAAAACCAUAAGUAUGAUUGUCACUUGUAAUCUACAAGGCUUUUAAAAUAGUAAUAAUAAAGAAAUUGAAAUAAUAUUGCAUUGAAAUGGAAUAACAAACUUGAAAAAAAAAAUCAAGAAAGAAUUAAAUAGCUUGACACUUUACAACUAUAUAUAUAUCAUGCAAAUUAGAAAUAUUUUUAAAAAUAAAUAAAUAAAUAAAUGCUUGGUAAGUCUAAGUGAACAAAC